AAGAGUUUGAUCCUGGCUCAGGAUGAACGCUGGCGGUGUGCCUUAUACAUGCAUGUCGAACGAGGCGUAGCAAUACGUCUAGUGGCAAAUGGGUGAGUAAUAAAUAGGUAACCAACCCUUAAGACGGGGAUACCCCAUCGAAAGAUGGAAUAAUACCCGAUAAUGUCCCUUCCGGUGCGCUGGAGGGGAAGAAAGAUGGCGCAAGCUAUCACUUUUGGACGGGCUUAUUUCCUAUCAGCUAGUUGGUGAGGUAACGGCUUACCAAGGCUACGACGGGUAGCUGGUCUGAGAGGACGGUCAGCCACAUUGGGACUGCGACACGGCCCAGACUCCUACGGGAGGCAGCAGUCGGGAAUAUUCGGCCAAUGCGCGAAAGCGUGACCGAGCGACACCGCGUGGGCGACGAAGAUCUUAGGAUUGUAAAGCCCUUUUGCCAGGGAAGAAUACGCUGGAGACAAUAUCAAGAGCGUUUGACGGUACCUGGCGAAUAAGCCGCAGCAAACUACGUGCCAGCAGCUGCGGUAAUACGUAGGCGGCAAGCGUUAUCCGGAAUUACUGGGUGUAAAGGGUCCGCAGGCGUCUUGUUAAGUUAGGAGUUAAAUCUCAAAGCCCAACUUUGAGGCUGUUCCUAAGACUGGCAAGAUAGAGUGUAGAAGACGGAAGUGGAAUUCCUGGUGGAGAGGUAAAAUCCGUAGAUAUCAGGAGGAACACCUGUGGUGAAGACGGCUUCCGAGUCUAUAACUGACGCUCAGGGACGAAAGCUAGGGGAGCAAACAGGAUUAGAUACCCUGGUAGUCCUAGCCCUAAACGAUGAAUACUUGGUAAUAGGGAGUACAUACUCUUUAUCGCCGAAGCCAACGCAUUAAGUAUUCCACCUGGGGACUACGGCCGCAAGGUUGAAACUCAAAGGAAUUGACGGGGGCCCGCACAAGCAGCGAGGCAUGUGGUUUAAUUCGAUGCUACACGAAGAACCUUACCUGGGCUUGACAUGUAGUGGAAAGCGGUAUGAAAGUACUGCCCUUGUUGUAGCAAUACAACAACCGCUAUGCAGGUGGUGCAUGGUUGUCGUCAGCUCGUGUCGUGAGAUGUAAGGUUAAGUCCUUAAACGAGCGCAACCCCUGCCACUAGUUGCCACCGGUUCGGCCGGGCACUCUAGUGGGACCGCUAGUGAUAAACUAGAGGAAGGUGGGGAUGACGUCAAAUCCUCACGCCCCUUAUGUCCAGGGCUACACACAUGCGACAAUGGUAGGGACAGCAGGACGCGACGAGGUAACUCUGAGCCAAUCCUCAAACCCUGCCCCAGUACAGAUCGAGGGCUGCAACCCGCCCUCGUGAAGAUGGAGUUGCUAGUAAACGCAGGUCAGCUAUACUGCGUUGAAUACGUUCCCGGGCCUUGUACACACCGCCCGUCACACCACCCGAGUCGUGUGCACCCGAAGUCGGCAACCUCAACCGCAAGGAGAGGACCGCCGAAGGUGUGCUCGGUAAGGAGGGUGAAGUCGUAACAAGGCAGGUGUACGAGAACGUGCGCCUGGAUCACCUCCUUUCUAAGGAG
Molecule: ribosomal RNA, 1555 nt
Filed under: Caldisericales bacterium
Lineage: Bacteria; Pseudomonadati; Caldisericota; Caldisericia; Caldisericales
Description: bacterial SSU rRNA
Rfam family: Bacterial small subunit ribosomal RNA
Source: RNAcentral